This 444-nucleotide unclassified non-coding RNA is filed under the name Hevea brasiliensis (rubber tree). Lineage: Eukaryota; Viridiplantae; Streptophyta; Magnoliopsida; Malpighiales; Euphorbiaceae. The record is from RNAcentral.
AGAGAGAGAGAGAGAUGAAAAAAAAGUUAAGGAUUGAGGGGGAAGAUAUUGAGAGUGCAAUUAAGGAAGAGAGUGGAAACAGUGGUAAAAGGAAAAGAAAAAGGAUGUGGUCUACAUGUUUUAUUUUUCAAAUCAAGAGAGUUGCAAAAUUGAAUAUGAUCGGAAGAUUUCAGUGGAAUUUUGGAGAUUUGUCUAUCAUUUUGUGCAAUUUCAUUUUUGCAUAUACCUGAUUUGAAUCAUUUGGUAUUAGGGAUGGCAAUGGCUCGAUUUUUUGUGGGUACUCGAUCCAACCGAACUCUAAUAGGACGGGUUUAGGUAGUAUAUAAUUGGGUUUGUGAUGAGUUUGGGUUUGAAAUUUAGUACCCUUGAUGGGUUCGCGUUGGGUUCGAACUUUACAUAUUGGUUAUCCGUUAUCCGAAUCCGUUUAUAUAAAUAUUUAAUUAA